Molecule: ribosomal RNA, 707 nt
Filed under: uncultured bacterium
Lineage: Bacteria
Description: bacterial SSU rRNA
Rfam family: Bacterial small subunit ribosomal RNA
Source: RNAcentral
UGCUAGCUUGCUAUAAUUCUCUAGUGGCGCACGGGUGAGUAACACGUGAGUAACCUGCCCCCAAGAGUGGGAUAGCCCCGGGAAACUGGGAUUAAUACCGCAUAAAAUCGCAAGAUUAAAGCAGCAAUGCGCUUGGGGAUGGGCUCGCGUCCUAUUAGUUAGUUGGUGAGGUAACGGCUCACCAAGGCGAUGACGGGUAGCCGGUCUGAGAGGAUGUCCGGCCACACUGGAACUGAGACACGGUCCAGACACCUACGGGUGGCAGCAGUCGAGAAUCAUUCACAAUGGGGGAAACCCUGAUGGUGCGACGCCGCGUGGGGGAAUGAAGGUCUUCGGAUUGUAAACCCCUGUCAUGUGGGAGCAAAUUAAAAAGAUAGUACCACAAGAGGAAGAGACGGCUAACUCUGUGCCAGCAGCCGCGGUAAUACAGAGGUCUCAAGCGUUGUUCGGAAUCACUGGGCGUAAAGCGUGCGUAGGCGGUUUCGUAAGUCGUGUGUGAAAGGCGGGGGCUCAACCCCCGGACUGCACAUGAUACUGCGAGACUAGAGUAAUGGAGGGGGAACCGGAAUUCUCGGUGUAGCAGUGAAAUGCGUAGAUAUCGAGAGGAACACUCGUGGCGAAGGCGGGUUCCUGGACAUUAACUGACGCUGAGGCACGAAGGCCAGGGGAGCGAAAGGGAUUAGAUACCCCUGUAGUCCUGGCAGUAA